GUUGGUUGGUUUGCUUUUUGGCUACGAUCAAGUAUGGUAUCUGUUCUUAUCUUUGUACUACCCAAAACAUCCUCUGAGAACAAUACAUCAAACAAAUUUUUGGAGCUGGGAGAUGAAAUAGGAGCUUACUCCAUCCACCCACAGACUAACCUGAUAUUACAGUACCUUCAGGAAUGAUGCACAUACU
This is a small nuclear RNA of Sorex araneus (European shrew), 187 nucleotides long. Its record names the gene U2. It matches the Rfam family "U2 spliceosomal RNA". From Rfam's summary of the family: U2 is a small nuclear RNA (snRNA) component of the spliceosome (involved in pre-mRNA splicing). Complementary binding between U2 snRNA (in an area lying towards the 5' end but 3' to hairpin I) and the branchpoint sequence (BPS) of the intron results the bulging out of an unpaired adenosine, on the BPS, which initiates a nucleophilic attack at the intronic 5' splice site, thus starting the first of two transesterification reactions that mediate splicing. The record is from Ensembl. NCBI's taxonomy places the organism in Eukaryota, Metazoa, Chordata, Mammalia, Eulipotyphla, Soricidae.